This 279-nucleotide ribosomal RNA is filed under the name uncultured prokaryote. RNAcentral's name for it is "partial 16S ribosomal RNA". It matches the Rfam family "Bacterial small subunit ribosomal RNA", at positions 524 to 803 of the family's 1533-position model. The record is from RNAcentral.
UACGUAGGGGCUAGCGUUAUCCGGAAUUACUGGGCGUAAAGGGUGCGUAGGUGGUUUCUUAAGUCAGAGGUGAAAGGCUACGGCUCAACCGUAGUAAGCCUUUGAAACUGGGAAACUUGAGUGCAGGAGAGGAGAGUGGAAUUCCUAGUGUAGCGGUGAAAUGCGUAGAUAUUAGGAGGAACACCAGUUGCGAAGGCGGCUCUCUGGACUGUAACUGACACUGAGGCACGAAAGCGUGGGGAGCAAACAGGAUUAGAUACCCUGGUAGUCCUGAGCGGG